This 503-nucleotide ribosomal RNA is filed under the name uncultured bacterium. RNAcentral's name for it is "bacterial SSU rRNA". It matches the Rfam family "Bacterial small subunit ribosomal RNA", at positions 30 to 507 of the family's 1533-position model. The record is from RNAcentral.
CGAACGUUGGCGGCGUGGAUUAGGCAUGCAAGUCGUGCGUGAACGUCGGCUUCGGCCGGCUAGUAAAGCGGCGAACGGGUGAGUAACGCGUGGGAAAUCUGCCUUCGGGUGGGGGAUAACACUCCUAACGGGGUGCUAAUACCGCAUAACACCUUUGGAUCGCAUGGUCCGAAGGUCAAAGGUGGCCUCUGCUUGCAAGCUACCGCCUGAAGAUGAUCCCGCGUCCGAUUAGCUUGUUGGUGAGGUAACGGCUCACCAAGGCUACGAUCGGUAGCUGGUCUGAGAGGAUGGUCAGCCACACUGGGACUGAGAUACGGCCCAGACUCCUACGGGAGGCAGCAGUCGAGAGGCUUCGGCAAUGGGGGAAACCCUGACCGAGCGACGCCGCGUGAGGGAUGAAGCCCUUCGGGGUGUAAACCUCUUUUCUGGGGGAAGAAACUCAUGGGGUCCAAUAGGCCUCGUGCCUGACGGUACCUCAGGAAUAAGCUCCGGCUAACUCCGUG